AAGGAUUUAAGUUAAAAAAACUUUUAACCUUCAAAGUUAACAAUAGAAAUUUUCUAAGCCUUA
Molecule: transfer RNA, 63 nt
Filed under: Novofoudrasia regularis
Lineage: Eukaryota; Metazoa; Arthropoda; Insecta; Coleoptera; Chrysomelidae
Description: tRNA-Trp
Source: RNAcentral